RNAcentral lists this ribosomal RNA (253 nucleotides) under uncultured bacterium. RNAcentral's name for it is "partial 16S ribosomal RNA". It matches the Rfam family "Bacterial small subunit ribosomal RNA", at positions 524 to 776 of the family's 1533-position model. The record is from RNAcentral.
UACGUAGGGGGCUAGCGUUGUCCGGAAUCAUUGGGCGUAAAGCGCGUGUAGGCGGCCCGGUAAGUCCGCUGUGAAAGUCGGGGGCUCAACCCUCGAAUGCCGGUGGAUACUGUCGGGCUAGAGUACGGAAGAGGCGAGUGGAAUUCCUGGUGUAGCGGUGAAAUGCGCAGAUAUCAGGAGGAACACCCAUUGCGAAGGCAGCUCGCUGGGACGUUACUGACGCUGAGGCGCGAAAGCUAGGGGAGCAAACAGG